AUUGAACGCUGGCGGCAGGCCUAACACAUGCAAGUCGAGCGGAUGAAGGGAGCUUGCUCCUGGAUUCAGCGGCGGACGGGUGAGUAAUGCCUAGGAAUCUGCCUGGUAGUGGGGGAUAACGUCCGGAAACGGGCGCUAAUACCGCAUACGUCCUGAGGGAGAAAGUGGGGGAUCUUCGGACCUCACGCUAUCAGAUGAGCCUAGGUCGGAUUAGCUAGUUGGUGGGGUAAAGGCCUACCAAGGCGACGAUCCGUAACUGGUCUGAGAGGAUGAUCAGUCACACUGGGACUUAGGAACGGUCCAGACUCCUACGGGAGGCAGCAGUGGGGAAUAUUGGACAAUGGGCGAAAGCCUGAUCCAGCCAUGCCGCGUGUGUGAAGAAGGUCUUCGGAUUGUAAAGCACUUUAAGUUGGGAGGAAGGGCAGUAAGUUAAUACCUUGCUGUUUUGACGUUACCAACAGAAUAAGCACCGGCUAACUUCGUG
This 484-nucleotide ribosomal RNA is filed under the name uncultured bacterium. Its description in RNAcentral is "partial 16S ribosomal RNA". It matches the Rfam family "Bacterial small subunit ribosomal RNA", at positions 30 to 507 of the family's 1533-position model. The record is from RNAcentral.